UACGGAGGGGGCUAGCGUUGUCCGGAUUUAUUGGGCGUAAAGAGCGCGUAGGCGGCCCGGUAAGUCCGCUGUGAAAGUCAAAGGCUCAACCUUUGAAUGUCAGCGGAUACUGCCAGGCUAGAGUCCGGAAGAGGCGAGUGGAACUCCUGGUGUAGCGGUGGAAUGCGCAGAUAUCAGGAAGAACACCGACGGCGAAGGCAGCUCGCUGGGACGGUACUGACGCUGAGGCGCGAAAGCGUGGGGAGCGAACAGG
RNAcentral lists this ribosomal RNA (253 nucleotides) under uncultured bacterium. Its description in RNAcentral is "partial 16S ribosomal RNA". It matches the Rfam family "Bacterial small subunit ribosomal RNA", at positions 524 to 776 of the family's 1533-position model. The record is from RNAcentral.